UCAGCAGGAUCCAUGAAGGUGGGCCUGUGUGUGAAGGGCCAAUAAGAAAGGUGAACCAUUGGAUGAAGGGCCAGUGGGAAGGCAGAGACAAUGGGGGAGGAUGCGGCAAGUUAGAAAAGGACCAAUGAGGGAGGUGGACCAUUGGAUGAAGGGCUAAUAGGAAGGGAGAGCCAGUGGGGGAUGGUGAGGCCAGUUAGAAAAGGACCAAGGAGGGAAGCAGACCAAUAGGAAGAGAGAGCCAAUGAGGGAGGGCAGGGCCAGUUAGGAAAGGACCAAUGAGGAAGGUAGACCAUUGGAGGAAGGGCCAAUAGAAAGGGAGGAUCCAUGAGGGAGGGUGGGGACAGUUAGAAAAGGACCAAUGAUGGAGGUGGACCAUUGGAUGAAGAACCAAUAGAAAGGAAGAACCAAUGGGAGAGGGCAUGGCCAGUUAGGAAAAGACCAAUGGUCACAGAGUGACCAAUCAAGAUGAAUCAAUGGGCAGGAAGUGUCCAAUGAAGAAUGGACUACUGAUCAGGAGGGGUACAGUAGAGGAGGGCGUAACAGAGGAAGAGUCCUCCAGGUCAACUGAAACUACUGAAGAAGGUG
Molecule: long non-coding RNA, 585 nt
Filed under: Homo sapiens (human)
Lineage: Eukaryota; Metazoa; Chordata; Mammalia; Primates; Hominidae
Description: HSALNT0261629
Source: RNAcentral